Molecule: long non-coding RNA, 4104 nt
Filed under: Sus scrofa (pig)
Lineage: Eukaryota; Metazoa; Chordata; Mammalia; Artiodactyla; Suidae
Description: lncRNA (ENSSSCG00055001006.1)
Source: RNAcentral
CUCUGCCGCCAGGAGCGCCUCUCGUCCACUGGGCAGUACCAGGGAACUCUGUUUGCCGAGCAGCCGACCAUGUUCAUCAGCCCAGCCAGCAACCCACCCAGAACCAAGCUGUGGGAGCUGGUCCUGCUAUGUGGGGGCCAGGUCACGCGAGUCCCUCACCAGGCAAGCAUCUUCAUCGGACCCUCCUCAGGAAAGAAGAAGGCAACAGUCAAGUACCUGUCAGAAACCUGGAUCUUAGAUUCAGUCACUCAGCACAAGGUCUGUGCCUCUGAGAACUACGUGCUGGCGUGAUGGAGUCAACACUCAACCACAGCUGCUGCACACAGUCUGCCCAGCGGUCCCUGGACAGUCCAGCAAGAAAGGCAGCUGUGAGGAGAGAGGUGGGCACAGAAAGGAUGCCUUUUCUGUCGUCAAGUUUGCCUUGUGUGCUGUGGUUUUUAUAUGAAGAUGCUCCUUUGUGUGGCUUUCUGAUGCCCAACUGUGUGUCUCAGAGAGGCACCGACCAGCCCCUUUGGGCCUUUUCUGUAUUAUGCCAGUCUGUGUGUCUUAGUGAUGAUCGUAAUUAAGAGGUCCUAGAACCUUUGUCAUUGGAGUGCCAUACUGUUAAAUAAAGAAAUUAUAUUGUUUUACUGAGAACAAAGAACCCCCUAAAUUUCUUUGUUAGACCAUAAGAACUUUAUUGCUAUAACAUCUAUUAAAUAUGAAGGAUAUUGGACAGUUAUCAGGGUUACUCUUUAUGUACUUGAGAUUCUUCUAAAAGUAAUUGAUGGGGACAAGGGUGAGGAGUCACAGUUAGUGAUGACGGUGCUACUGAAGUAGCCCUGCUUCUCCAAGCUUAGUUUCUGGCGAGGAGAGCAUCACUAGGUGACUGGGGCCUCCGUUGGCCACCUUGGGGUUCACCAUGCCCUGGAGGAAAUGACAUUUGGGCCAAAUCAUACACACACUGGCUCAUCACCUUCCAGAGGCAAAAAAUGCUAAUUCCAGCAAGGUUGAAGGUGCCAUUAAGACUUUCUCGUGACACUGUCCCCUCUUGUGUUGUUUUUUGUUACUCAACACAGCUGCUGUUUCUACCUCAAAUAAAUUACAAGUCCCUCCACAAAUACAAGGGAUCAACUUUUGGAGUAAACCUUCUAGGAAAGCAGUAACAACACACAUGGAAACAGUGAAGGGUUUUCCCUUUGUGUUAGUGUAGCGAAUCCCCCAGAAAGUCCCUCAUAAUACUCAUACCUGAUAGUGGUUGAGCCUCAGCACAGCUCGCCAGGCCUGAGUCAUUCCUUCCACCUUAUGAACCUUGUUUAUAUUUGCUACUUCCUGGGCUUGGCUACUUUGAAGAUCAGGUACUUUGGCAGAGCUUCCCUAACACCAAAAAUUCCCAAGGCAGCUGACAUAAAUUGUGUGGACUCCCACUGGGGACAAGCCACAAAGAACUUCCAUCGCCUGACCACAUGGGCCACAGAGUGCCACCUAGGCCCUGUGUGCCCCCAGGCCUGCAUCCUCAGAGCCAAGUCCUUACUCCUGAUGCUGGCCUGCCAGUCAGGAUUCUCUUUCUAAAAGCUAAUAUUUUACAAGGAUUUGUGCCAGGCUUUACACUAAGCAUUUUCUGUAUGGUACCUCAUUUACCCUCCCAAUAAUUGUAAAUUAGAUACUAUAGGUUUACAAGCCCUUACCAAAACACAUAGGGGCCAUAAGUGUCUCAGAAUUCUGAUUUUCCUUUUAACUUUGAAACGUAUGUUGCUCUCAUGACUUCUAUUUGACAUUGUGUUAGAGAUUCUACCAAGAAAAGGCCAGAAAAGGAAUUAAAGGUAUACAGAUGGAAAUGAAGAAGUAAAACUAGUCUCAGAUCACAUGGUACUAUAUGUAGAAAAUUAUGGGGAAUCAAAGAAAAUACAGAUUAAGCAUGUUUAGCAAGAUUACAAAAUACAAAUUCUAUAUACAAAUCUAACUAGAUUUUAUUUUUAUAUACUAUGAACAAAAAUUCAAAAUGGAAUUAACAGUUUCUUUUACAGUAUUCUCUAAAAAUUAAAUAGGAAUAAAUGUAACAAAAGAAUUAUAAGAUCUGUAUACUAAAAUCUACCAAUCAUUGCUGAGAGAUUAAAGAUCUAAAUAAAUGGAGAAAUAUACCAAAUUCAUGGAUAAGAAGACUCAAUAUUGGUAAGACGGCUGUUUUCCUCAAAUUAAUCUAGAGAUUCACUGUAAUCAUCAAAAUGCCAGAUGGGUUUGUUUGUUUCUUGAUUUUUAGGACUGCACCUGUGGCAUAUGGAAGUUCCCAGGCUAGGGGUCGAAUCAGAACUGCAGCUGCUGGCCAACACCACAGCCACAGCAACACGGGAUCUGAGCAGAGUCUGCAACAUACAUCACAGCUCACAGCGAUGCUGGAUCUUUUAACCCACUGAGCGAGGCCAAGGAUCGAACCCACAUCCUCAUGGAUAACUAGUCCAGGUUCAUUACUGCUGAGCCACAAUGGGAACUCCUCCACAAUGGGAAUUUGAAAAAAACUGAUGCUAAAAUUUAUAUGAAAAUGCAAAGAAAUUCUAGUAGGAAAAUCAGUUUUUUAGAAAAAGAGCAAAGUUUGGAGAUUUACACUACCUUACUUGAAAACUUAACUGGCUUAAAGGUAGAAUGUAGAUCAAGGGAAGAAAAUAGAGACUCUAGAUAGAAAGCCUCACAUUUAUGGUCAGUGGGUUUCAACAAAGAUGCCAAGGCAAUUCAGUGCAGCAGGAUGUUCUUUAAUACACUCGGGGAAAAAAAAAUUAAAUGCACUUAUAUCCCUACUUCACAUUGCAAAAAGAAAAAAAAAAUGUGUAGAUUCCUACCUUACACCAUACACAAAAAUCAAAAUGGACCAGAAACCUAACUCAUAGUUUCUCAACCUCAGCACUGUUGGCAUUUUGGACCAAAUAAUUCUGUGCUGUGGGGGCUGUCCUGUGCACUGUGGUAUGUUUAGCACCAUCACUGGCCUUUAGCCACUAGAUCCCAUUAGCACACCCCACCCAGUUUUGACAAUCCAGACUGUCUUCACAUAUUCCCUGAUGUCCUCUGGGAGCAAAACUGUUCCCAGGUGAGAACCAAUGACCUAAUAUAAGAACUAAAUCUAGAAGAAAACAGGAAAUCCUUCUGAAAGUUUAGGCAAAGAUUUCUUAGAUAUGAUAUUAAAGGCACAAUUCAUAAAAGAGUAAGUUGAACUUGGAAGUUUUAAAAAGUUUUGCUGUUCCAAAGAAACCAUUAAGAAAAUGAAAAGCCACAAACUAGGAAAAAUAUUUGUAAACCAAACAUAUGGAAGGAAUUGUGUCCAGUAUUGUAAAGAACUUCUAUUCAUUAGCAGGAUAAUAAACAAAGAAUGGGCAAAAGAUAUUUUACACAAGAACAUAUAGAAAUGAUUAAUAAGCACAUGAAACAAUGCUUAACAUUAUCAAUCAUUAGAAAAACGCAAAGUAAAAGCACAAUGAGAUGCCUGUGUGCCCUCAGGAAUGGCCAUAACCAACAAUUCUGACAAUAAGAACUGACCAGCAUGUUGUCUUUAGAACCCUCAUGCAUUGCUGGUGUGGCUGUAUUAUUUUGAGGUUUCGUUUAAAAAUUGAACAUACACUUACCAUGUGACCCAGCAACUUCACUCUUACCUGUAUACCCAAGAGAAAUGAACAUGUGUCUAUCUGCUCAGGUACUUGCACAUAAAUGUUCAUAGCAACAUCUUUCACACCAGCCAAAAACUAGAAGCAAUCCAUUAACUGAUAAAUAAACAAAAUGUGCUAUAUCCAUACCACAGAUUGCUACUCGGUGAUAGAAAAGCAAACUGCUGAUACAGGCAAAAACGUGAUCAUCCUCAAGGACAUAUAAGUCAAAGAAGCCAGACCUAAAAGGCUACAUAUUGUAUGAUUUCAUGAAAAAUUUGUACAGAAGACAAAAACUAUAAAGGCAGAAAAUACAUCAAUGGUUUCCUGUCACUGGGGAUAGGAGUGGGAAUACACAGCAAACAUUUUGGGAUGAUGGGAUCAUUCUAAUACUCAAUUGUGAUUUUGGUUGUACCACUGUAUUCAUUUACUAAAAUCAUUGAACAGUAAAUUUUGUGCAUAAAUUAUGUAUCAAUAAAGCUGCUUAAAAAAAAAA